Molecule: ribosomal RNA, 253 nt
Filed under: uncultured bacterium
Lineage: Bacteria
Description: partial 16S ribosomal RNA
Rfam family: Bacterial small subunit ribosomal RNA
Source: RNAcentral
UACGAAGGGGGCUAGCGUUGCUCGGAAUCACUGGGCGUAAAGGGUGCGUAGGCGGGUCUUUAAGUCAGGGGUGAAAUCCUGGAGCUCAACUCCAGAACUGCCUUUGAUACUGAGGAUCUUGAGUUCGGGAGAGGUGAGUGGAACUGCGAGUGUAGAGGUGAAAUUCGUAGAUAUUCGCAAGAACACCGGUGGCGAAGGCGGCUACCUGGACAGAGUCUGACGCUGAGGCACGAAAGCUAGGGGAGCAAACAGG